RNAcentral lists this long non-coding RNA (618 nucleotides) under Eutrema salsugineum. RNAcentral describes it as "long non-coding RNA (ESAL_LNC001625)". The record is from RNAcentral. Lineage: Eukaryota; Viridiplantae; Streptophyta; Magnoliopsida; Brassicales; Brassicaceae.
UUUAAGAAAUAACAGAGAUUAGAUAACUUACACGAUUUGAGAAAAUUUUCCUUGGAGCAGCUCCACAUUUCAAAACCUAAAAAAAAAACAGAUUGGAAGUUUUGUGACUUUUACUAAAAAAUUGAAAGCUUUUUGGUUAAAAAAAAAAAAAAAAGAUUGGAAAAGUUUAGGAUUUCUAACCUUGAAUAGAAUGAGAAAGAAUCUCAUGAGGAAACUUUUCGGUCGAAUGAAAGAUAUGAAAGAAUAUAAAUGAGUAUUUUCUUGAGAAAAUGUUAGAAGAAAGUUUAAUGGAGAGUAAAAAAUGUCGAAGAAAUGCCAAGUAACCUCAUUGAAGAAGAAGACAAAAACGAAAAAAAAAAUGUUUUGGUGUACUUUUCAUAUGAGACAGAGAUGAGCCUGUCUUCUUGCAGAACUGGAGGUGGUGCAUUUGUCAUCUUCAAGCUCUGGGAGAUACUGUUGGCUCCAACAACACCCACUUCCUUCCACUCCACUUUUCUCUCUGCUUUAACACACACUUCCAUUUCCGUCAGGACACUUCCAAGGAAUGUUUUGAAAACUCUCUUGAUAGACAUUUGAAAGAAUUGUGAUUUGAAGACUUAGCAAUGUAUUUAAAGAGAG